GACGAACGCUGGCGGCGUGCCUAAUACAUGCAAGUUGAGCGCUGAAGGUUGGUACUUGUACCGACUGGAUGAGCAGCGAACGGGUGAGUAACGCGUGGGGAAUCUGCCUUUGAGCGGGGGACAACAUUUGGAAACGAAUGCUAAUACCGCAUAAAAACUUUAAACACAAGUUUUAAGUUUGAAAGAUGCAAUUGCAUCACUCAAAGAUGAUCCCGCGUUGUAUUAGCUAGUUGGUGAGGUAAAGGCUCACCAAGGCGAUGAUACAUAGCCGACCUGAGAGGGUGAUCGGGCACAUUGGGACUGAGACACGGCCCAAACUCCUACGGGAGGCAGCAGUAGGGAAUCUUCGGCAAUGGACGAAAGUCUGACCGAGCAACGCCGCGUGAGUGAAGAAGGUUUUCGGAUCGUAAAACUCUGUUGGUAGAGAAGAACGUUGGGGAGAGUGGAAAGCUCAUCAAGUGACGGUAACUACCCAGAAAGGGACGGCUAACUACGUG
Molecule: ribosomal RNA, 497 nt
Filed under: uncultured bacterium
Lineage: Bacteria
Description: partial 16S ribosomal RNA
Rfam family: Bacterial small subunit ribosomal RNA
Source: RNAcentral